This 253-nucleotide ribosomal RNA is filed under the name uncultured bacterium. Its description in RNAcentral is "partial 16S ribosomal RNA". It matches the Rfam family "Bacterial small subunit ribosomal RNA", at positions 524 to 776 of the family's 1533-position model. The record is from RNAcentral.
AACGAACCACACAAACGUUAUUCGGAAUUACUGGGCUUAAAGGGUGCGUAGGCGGCGCGGAAAGUAGGGUGUGAAAUCCCUCGGCUCAACCGAGGAAUUGCGCCCUAAACUACCGUGCUCGAGGGAGAUAGAGGUGAGCGGAACUUAGGGUGGAGCGGUGAAAUGCGUUGAUAUCCUAAGGAACACCGGUGGCGAAAGCGGCUCACUGGAUCUCUUCUGACGCUGAGGCACGAAAGCUAGGGUAGCGAACGGG